RNAcentral lists this ribosomal RNA (71 nucleotides) under Verticillium dahliae. RNAcentral describes it as "partial 18S ribosomal RNA". The record is from RNAcentral. Lineage: Eukaryota; Fungi; Ascomycota; Sordariomycetes; Glomerellales; Plectosphaerellaceae.
ACCUGGUUGAUUCUGCCAGUAGUCAUAUGCUUGUCUCAAAGAUUAAGCCAUGCAGUUGGAUUACUGGAGUG